UCAGACUCACACUGCCUCACCACAUACGCU
RNAcentral lists this non-coding RNA (30 nucleotides) under Rattus norvegicus (Norway rat). The record is from RNAcentral. Lineage: Eukaryota; Metazoa; Chordata; Mammalia; Rodentia; Muridae.